This 21-nucleotide non-coding RNA is filed under the name Arabidopsis thaliana (thale cress). Lineage: Eukaryota; Viridiplantae; Streptophyta; Magnoliopsida; Brassicales; Brassicaceae. The record is from RNAcentral.
CUAUAGCUCAGUGGUAGAGCA